RNAcentral lists this ribosomal RNA (2927 nucleotides) under Cronobacter sakazakii. RNAcentral describes it as "23S ribosomal RNA". It matches the Rfam family "Bacterial large subunit ribosomal RNA". Lineage: Bacteria; Pseudomonadati; Pseudomonadota; Gammaproteobacteria; Enterobacterales; Enterobacteriaceae. The record is from RNAcentral.
GGGUUGUGAGGUUAAGCGAACAAGCGUACACGGUGGAUGCCCUGGCAGUCAGAGGCGAUGAAGGACGUGCUAAUCUGCGAAAAGCGCCGGUAAGGUGAUAUGAACCGUUAUAACCGGCGAUGUCCGAAUGGGGAAACCCGGUGCACUUCGGUGCAUCAUCGUUAGCUGAAUACAUAGGCUAACGAAGCGAACCGGGGGAACUGAAACAUCUAAGUACCCCGAGGAAAAGAAAUCAACCGAGAUUCCCCCAGUAGCGGCGAGCGAACGGGGAACAGCCCAGAGCCUGAAUCAGCUUGUGUGUCAGUGGAACGGUCUGGAAAGGCCGGCGAUACAGGGUGACAGCCCCGUACACGAAGGCACACAGGCUGUGAGCUCGAUGAGUAGGGCGGGACACGUGAUAUCCUGUCUGAAGAUGGGGGGACCAUCCUCCAAGGCUAAAUACUCCUGACUGACCGAUAGUGAACCAGUACCGUGAGGGAAAGGCGAAAAGAACCCCGGCGAGGGGAGUGAAACAGAACCUGAAACCGUGUACGUACAAGCAGUGGGAGCCUUCGUAAGAGGGUGACUGCGUACCUUUUGUAUAAUGGGUCAGCGACUUAUAUUCUGUAGCAAGGUUAACCGUAUAGGGGAGCCGAAGGGAAACCGAGUCUUAAUUGGGCGUUAAGUUGCAGGGUAUAGACCCGAAACCCGGUGAUCUAGCCAUGGGCAGGUUGAAGGUUGGGUAACACUAACUGGAGGACCGAACCGACUAAUGUUGAAAAAUUAGCGGAUGACCUGUGGCUGGGGGUGAAAGGCCAAUCAAACCGGGAGAUAGCUGGUUCUCCCCGAAAGCUAUUUAGGUAGCGCCUCGUGAACUCAUCUCCGGGGGUAGAGCACUGUUUCGGCUAGGGGGCCAUCCCGGCUUACCAACCCGAUGCAAACUGCGAAUACCGGAGAAUGUUAUCACGGGAGACACACGGCGGGUGCUAACGUCCGUCGUGAAGAGGGAAACAACCCAGACCGCCAGCUAAGGUCCCAAAGUCAUGGUUAAGUGGGAAACGAUGUGGGAAGGCCCAGACAGCCAGGAUGUUGGCUUAGAAGCAGCCAUCAUUUAAAGAAAGCGUAAUAGCUCACUGGUCGAGUCGGCCUGCGCGGAAGAUGUAACGGGGCUAAACCAUGCACCGAAGCUGCGGCAGCGACACUGUGUGUUGUUGGGUAGGGGAGCGUUCUGUAAGCCUGCGAAGGUGUGCUGUGAGGCAUGCUGGAGGUAUCAGAAGUGCGAAUGCUGACAUAAGUAACGAUAAAGCGGGUGAAAAGCCCGCUCGCCGGAAGACCAAGGGUUCCUGUCCAACGUUAAUCGGGGCAGGGUGAGUCGACCCCUAAGGCGAGGCCGAAAGGCGUAGUCGAUGGGAAACAGGUUAAUAUUCCUGUACUUGGUGUUACUGCGAAGGGGGGACGGAGAAGGCUAUGUCGGCCGGGCGACGGUUGUCCCGGUUUAAGCGUGUAGGCUGACUUUCCAGGCAAAUCCGGAGAGUUAAGGCUGAGGCGUGAUGACGAGGCACCACGGUGCUGAAGUGACAAAUGCCCUGCUUCCAGGAAAAGCCUCUAAGCAUCAGGUAACAUCAAAUCGUACCCCAAACCGACACAGGUGGUCAGGUAGAGAAUACCAAGGCGCUUGAGAGAACUCGGGUGAAGGAACUAGGCAAAAUGGUGCCGUAACUUCGGGAGAAGGCACGCUGACAUGUAGGUGAAGCCCCUGCGGGUGGAGCUGAAGUCAGUCGAAGAUACCAGCUGGCUGCAACUGUUUAUUAAAAACACAGCACUGUGCAAACACGAAAGUGGACGUAUACGGUGUGACGCCUGCCCGGUGCCGGAAGGUUAAUUGAUGGGGUUAUCGCAAGAGAAGCUCCUGAUCGAAGCCCCGGUAAACGGCGGCCGUAACUAUAACGGUCCUAAGGUAGCGAAAUUCCUUGUCGGGUAAGUUCCGACCUGCACGAAUGGCGUAAUGAUGGCCAGGCUGUCUCCACCCGAGACUCAGUGAAAUUGAACUCGCUGUGAAGAUGCAGUGUACCCGCGGCAAGACGGAAAGACCCCGUGAACCUUUACUACAGCUUGACACUGAACAUUGAGCCUUGAUGUGUAGGAUAGGUGGGAGGCUUUGAAGCGUGGACGCCAGUCUGCGUGGAGCCGACCUUGAAAUACCACCCUUUAAUGUUUGAUGUUCUAACCUGGCGCCGUGAUCCGGCGUGGGGACAGUGUCUGGUGGGUAGUUUGACUGGGGCGGUCUCCUCCCAAAGUGUAACGGAGGAGCACGAAGGUCAGCUAAUCCUGGUCGGACAUCAGGAGGUUAGUGCAAUGGCAUAAGCUGGCUUGACUGCGAGAGUGACGGCUCGAGCAGGUGCGAAAGCAGGUCAUAGUGAUCCGGUGGUUCUGUAUGGAAGGGCCAUCGCUCAACGGAUAAAAGGUACUCCGGGGAUAACAGGCUGAUACCGCCCAAGAGUUCAUAUCGACGGCGGUGUUUGGCACCUCGAUGUCGGCUCAUCACAUCCUGGGGCUGAAGUAGGUCCCAAGGGUAUGGCUGUUCGCCAUUUAAAGUGGUACGCGAGCUGGGUUUAGAACGUCGUGAGACAGUUCGGUCCCUAUCUGCCGUGGGCGCUGGAGAAUUGAGGGGGGCUGCUCCCAGUACGAGAGGACCGGAGUGGACGCAUCACUGGUGUUCGGGUUGUCAUGCCAAUGGCACUGCCCGGUAGCUAAAUGCGGAAGAGAUAAGUGCUGAAAGCAUCUAAGCACGAAACUUGCCCCGAGAUGAGUUCUCCCUGAGACUGUAAGUCUCCUGAAGGAACGUUGAAGACGACGACGUUGAUAGGCCGGGUGUGUAAGCGCAGCGAUGCGUUGAGCUAACCGGUACUAAUGAACCGUGAGGCUUAACCUUACAACGCCAAAGAAGU